Molecule: ribosomal RNA, 2929 nt
Filed under: Nostoc sp. GT001
Lineage: Bacteria; Bacillati; Cyanobacteriota; Cyanophyceae; Nostocales; Nostocaceae
Description: 23S ribosomal RNA
Rfam family: Bacterial large subunit ribosomal RNA
Source: RNAcentral
GGUCAAGCGAAUAAGGGCUAACGGUGGAUACCUAGGCACACAGAGGCGACGAAGGACGUGGUUACCGACGAUAUGCUCCGGGGAGUUGGAAGCAAACAUUGAGCCGGAGAUUUCCGAAUGGGGCAACCCUAUAUACUACCUGCUGAAUAUAUAGGCAGGAGAGAGCCAACCCAGCGAAUUGAAACAUCUUAGUAGCUGGAGGAAGAGAAAUCAAAACAGAGAUUCCCUAAGUAGUGGUGAGCGAAAGGGGAAGAGCCUAAACCAAAGGGUUUACCUUUUGGGGUAGUGGGACAGCGAUAUCGAAUCUAGCGGUUAAACGAAGCAGCUAAAUACUGCACCAAAGAAGGUGAAAGUCCUGUAGUUGAAAACUCAAGGAUAGUAGCUGAAUCCCGAGUAGCAUGGGGCACGAGGAAUCCCAUGUGAAUCAGCGAGGACCACCUCGUAAGGCUAAAUACUACUGUGUGACCGAUAGUGAACCAGUACCGCGAGGGAAAGGUGAAAAGAACCCCGGAAGGGGAGUGAAAUAGAACAUGAAACCGUUAGCUUACAAGCAGUGGGAGGACUAUUCAAAGUCUGACCGCGUGCCUGUUGAAGAAUGAGUAAGCGACUUAUAGGCACUGGUAGGUUAAAGCGAGAAUGCUGGAGCCAAAGGGAAACCGAGUCUGAAAAGGGCGAAUAUUAUCAGUGUUUAUAGACCCGAACCCUGGUGAUCUAGCCAUGGCCAGGAUGAAGCUUGGGUAACACCAAGUGGAGGUCCGCACCGACUGAUGUUGAAAAAUCAGCGGAUGAGUUGUGGUUAGGGGUGAAAUGCCAAUCGAACCAGGAGCUAGCUGGUUCUCCCCGAAAUGUGUUUAGGCGCAGCGGUAAUGAUUAUAUCUGGGGGGUAAAGCACUGUUUCGGUGCGGGCUGGGAGAACCGGUACCAAAUCGAGACAAACUCUGAAUACCCAGAGUACACAUUGCCAGUGAGACAGUGGGGGAUAAGCUUCAUUGUCAAGAGGGAAACAGCCCAGACCACCAGCUAAGGUCCCCAAAUCAUCGCUAAGUGAUAAAGGAGGUGAGAGUGCACAGACAACUAGGAGGUUUGCCUAGAAGCAGCCACCCUUGAAAGAGUGCGUAAUAGCUCACUAGUCAAGCGCUCUCGCGCCGAAAAUGAACGGGGCUAAGCGAUGUACCGAAGCUGUGGGAUUAACUAACGUUAAUCGGUAGGGGAGCGUUCCGUCGUAGGUAGAAGCAGUAGCGGCAAGCAGCAGUGGACGAAACGGAAGUGAGAAUGUCGGCUUGAGUAGCGCAAAUAUUGGUGAGAAUCCAAUACCCCGAAACCCUAAGGGUUCCUCCGCCAGGUUCGUCCCCGGAGGGUUAGUCAGGACCUAAGGCGAGGCCGAAAGGCGUAGUCGAUGGACAACGGGUUAAAAUUCCCGUACUGACCCCUUGUAGGUUGUGCAGAGGGACGGAGAAGAUAAGUGUCAGCCGGAUGUUGGUCUAUCGGUUCAAGGACGUCGAGAUGACCCUCUUUUAGGGUAAGAAACGGCGAAAACGUUUUGAGUUGAGGCGUGAGUACGACCCACUACGGUGGGGAAGUGGCAUAGUCAUAGCUUCCAAGAAAAGCUCGAAACACGUUCAACUUACAGGUACCUGUACCCGAAACCGACACAGGUAGGUAGGUAGAGAAUACCAAGGGGCGCGAGACAACUCUCUCUAAGGAACUCGGCAAAAUAGCCCCGUAACUUCGGGAGAAGGGGUGCCCACCGUAAGAAGGGGGUCGCAGUGACGAGACCCAGGCGACUGUUUACCAAAAACACAGGUCUCCGCAAAGUCGAAACGACGCACGUAUGGGGGCUGACGCCUGCCCAGUGCCGGAAGGUUAAGGAAGUUGGUCAGGGGGCAACCUAUGACGGAGCUGGCGACCGAAGCCCCGGUGAACGGCGGCCGUAACUAUAACGGUCCUAAGGUAGCGAAAUUCCUUGUCGGGUAAGUUCCGACCCGCACGAAAGGCGUAACGAUCUGGACACUGUCUCGGAGAGAGACUCGGUGAAAUAGAAAUGUCUGUGAAGAUGCGGACUACCUGCACCUGGACAGAAAGACCCUAUGAAGCUUUACUGUUCCCUGGGAUUGGCUUUGGGCUUUGCCUGCGCAGGUUAGGUGGGAGGCGAAGAAGUCCUCCUUGCGGGGAGUCCCGAGCCAACAGUGAGAUACCACUCUGGAGAAGCUAGAAUUCUAACCUUGUGUCAGGACCGUUAUCCGGCCAGGGGACAGUCUCAGGUGGGCAGUUUCACUGGGGCGUAGGCCUCCUAAAAGGUAACGGAGGCGUGCAAAGGUUCCCUCAGCACGCUUGGAAACCGUGCGGCGAGUGUAAAGGCAUAAAGGGAGCUUGACUGCAAGACCGACCCGUCGAGCAGGGACGAAAGUCGGCCUUAGUGAUCCGACGGUGCCGAGUGGAAGGGCCGUCGCUCAACGGAUAAAAGUUACUCUAGGGAUAACAGGCUGAUCUCCCCCAAGAGUCCACAUCGACGGGGAGGUUUGGCACCUCGAUGUCGGCUCAUCGCAACCUGGGGCUGAAGUACGUCCCAAGGGUUGGGCUGUUCGCCCAUUAAAGCGGUACGUGAGCUGGGUUCAGAACGUCGUGAGACAGUUCGGUCCAUAUCCGGUGCAGGCGUAAGAGCAUUGAGAGGAGUCCUUCCUUAGUACGAGAGGACCGGGAGGAACGCACCGCUGGUGUACCAGUUAUCGUGCCAACGGUAAACGCUGGGUAGCCAAGUGCGGAGCGGAUAACCGCUGAAAGCAUCUAAGUGGGAAGCCCACCUCAAGAUGAGUGCUCUCACCACUUUAAGUGGGUAAGGUCACCUGAAGAACACAGGUUAAUAGGCGGUAGGUGGAAGUGCAGUAAUGUAUGUAGCCGAGCCGUGCUAACAGACCGAGGGCUUGACCUC